Molecule: long non-coding RNA, 1365 nt
Filed under: Dromaius novaehollandiae (emu)
Lineage: Eukaryota; Metazoa; Chordata; Aves; Casuariiformes; Dromaiidae
Description: lncRNA (ENSDNVG00000008357.1)
Source: RNAcentral
CGAGGUGACCCACGCUGCCUGCGCCGGGCAAGGAGCCGCUGAAGGGCAGGGAAUAAAACGCCCCCGCAGAAACCCCCCGAGAAAAAAAAAAAAAAAAAAAAGGAUGAAAAAGCCCUGUAAAUGUCUCCUAAAUCGGAAAGCGUGGAGUCGGGGGGCUAAUUCCUCGUCCAGGCCGAAGCUAACGAAGUUAUUCCAGGCAGCCCAGGGAGCGGGCAGGCAGCUCGGCUUCUUUCCCCACCGCUUUUCCCGCAGAGGAGCCGCUUGCCAGCCCCGGUGCGGCGGGACGCGCCGUCCCGGGGAAAAGGGCCUCGAAGUCGCGGGCAGCGACGGGCCGGGCCGGGCCACGAUGUGCCCGCGGCGGCCCAAGGGCUCCGGGCAGCGAGGGGCCCCGACGUGCCAGGCCGGUAUUUUUAGGCUGCGGAGCUUUGAUCUCUGCCCCGCCAGGGCUCCCCAGGCCGGGCGCCGCUCCAGCCGCUCGGGGAAGUGUAACCGAUCCGCGGGGCAGCAGGCAAAAAUAGUGGCCGGCACCGGAGCUCUCUGCCUGCCCUUGGCCUCCCGGCCGGUGCCGCACCGCUCCCGUCCCAAAACAGCCGGGGGGAAGAAGGUCUCUCGAGGGGCGGUUUUGAGGCCGAGGGGGGCAACACGGGCGGCAGGGCACGGACCUCCCCCGCCCCCCCGGGUGUCCCCGGCGGUACCUGGUGAAGACGUCGGGGUAGUGCGUUUUCUGGAAGGCCCUCUCCAGCUCCUCCAGCUGGUAGCUGGUGAAGGUGGUGCGGUAGCGUCGCUGCUUCCUCUUGAGCAGCCCCUCCUCGGAGUCGCUGCCGGCCGAGAGGCACACGCUCUCCUCGCCGUCCUUGCCCUCGCCGUCCUCGGGGUGCAGCAGCAGCUCCUCCUUGGGCGACAGCUCGCCGCCCUCGGCACCGGCGGCCGCGGCGGCGCCCCGACGGGCCUCCUUGAGGAGCGCGCCGCCGUCCUCGGCCAGCAGCUCCUCCUCCUCGUCGUCCUCCAGCUCCUCUUCCUCCUCGUCGUCCUCCUCCAGCAUCUCUUCGUCCUCGUCGUCCUCCUCCUCCUCGGCGGGAGGCGCGGCGGGGCCCGGCCGCUCCUCGACGUGCGCCGCGGCGGGGCCCAGCUCGUCGAGGGCGGGCGGCGGCGCCGCAAGUGUGGGGCAGCUCACCGGAGGAGUGGAUGGCCUUGCUGCGCUUCUGCAUGACCUGCAUGAGGGCCCCCACCAGCCCCUCGGGGGGCUGCCCCACGGCGCCCGCCUCGGGGCUCUCGGGGGUCUGUGGGGAGAGGGGGGAUGGGUUAGUGCUGCCCCACAGCGAGCCCUGCCCCACGGCAACCCGUGCCCCACGGCGAGCCCUGCCC